RNAcentral lists this long non-coding RNA (1463 nucleotides) under Volvox carteri. RNAcentral's name for it is "long non-coding RNA (VCAR_LNC000916)". The record is from RNAcentral. Lineage: Eukaryota; Viridiplantae; Chlorophyta; Chlorophyceae; Chlamydomonadales; Volvocaceae.
ACCAUCCCGCUAGCAGCCCUUCCAGGGCCUGGAAAACGUCCGAGAUUGUUCCGAAAACUUUCGGGCGAAGAAAUGAAGUUUAUUAAAGUAAAGCUUGCUGCGCUCACGUGUUAUGUUACACAACUCAUUAGGAGACAUGUCUCGCAAAGAGGCACACAGUAUAUAUAUCUGCCAUGCUGAGCUGGCCCCGUACAAUUCAUCCAAGAAUGCAUCCAGGUGAAGUCGCCCAGAUUGCUCCUAAAAGAACACCAUCAAUACAAAUCCUGCGUUUACCGCGCUCGUCUUGCUCUCAGGAGCUUCAAUCGAUAACCAGCAGCUAAAAAAGGACCUCUAUUCUAUUACUUUUGAGGGCAGCUUCAGCCGAUACGCGAAACAUUGUUACUGAUCUGUCGAGAUGACAAUUGUAGCUGGAAUGAAAUAAAUGACUUCUGGCGUAUAAGUCCAGCGUAACGCCCUCACGUUCCGGAACUUCCCUCCCCCGCUGCUCCUGCACUGUGGCCGUAAGGACAGGCUAGCUUAACAGACACUAUAGCGUAUAAAUUUAUUUCUCUAUAUUAUUAAGGUUACGGUGUUUCAAGCUGCGAACACAAUUCCCAGACAAGUCAACUCUUUCUCUGAAGUGUUUUACCGGUAAACCUAUCCCCAUCGAGGGCUUAUUCUUUUUUAUUGUGGCUACCAUUACAUCAUGCAUGGGUGGCAGAUGCAUCACAAGGACCUAUUCCGCUCAUGUUAGCGGUCCGCCAUCCACGACCAAGACCUCACCGCAAACAAGGUGAGGUUUGCAACUUCCAGGCUCGUACGCCACGCACCCUCACCGCCGCAGUUGCUCGCGGAUCCGCAGGGUGCGCUGUGGUCCCCCAACAAUAACCAACGUCUUGUUCAGCAAAGGUGAAGGAUGCGAGGCCGUACCUUCGGGACAAGACAGCCCCAGCUGUUAAAACCACUGGGUCAAACAUGAUUAAAUUAGAUUUCGAGGCGGACGAAGGGUGUGGUGGAUCCGGAGGCCCCGCAGCAAGGGGCACUUUAGACUGUCAGCAUGCUCCUUAUGUCCACAGCACUCCGCGCAAGGUAGUUUUGACAUGACGAGUCGUAAACGUAAACCCCUUGCCGGCUGUGAAAUGCAUAGGAUGCGCACAACACAACGAGGCUUGGCGGGGUUAACCGAGGACGUCUGCAGUGCUAGCGUGACGCAGAAGCCGACUCGCGGAAUUUGCUCAGCAUGAUUAAUAUGUUACAGCACAACCCUGCCAUGCUAGCUUGGGUCAACAUGCACAAAAAGGCUGCCUCCAGCUCACAUGUUUCGGCAUAUUUCUUGGUUUAAGGUCCAUCCAUGUCUCACUGUUAAAAUCCAACACACGCACAGAAAAGUCAGGAUUUCAAAUCAUGCACAAAUCCUCCCUACCCCAGCAGUGUCGCAGUUAUGUUGCUCGUAAGUUAUCAAUUUUAUAACCCCGGUGAGCACC